GACGAACGCUGGCGGCGUGCUUAACACAUGCAAGUCGAACGAAGAGCGACGGAAGCUUGCUUCUAUCAAUCUUAGUGGCGAACGGGUGAGUAACGCGUAAUCAACCUGCCCUUCAGAGGGGGACAACAGUUGGAAACGACUGCUAAUACCGCAUACGAUCUAACCUCGGCAUCGAGGAUAGAUGAAAGGUGGCCUCUACAUGUAAGCUAUCACUGAAGGAGGGGAUUGCGUCUGAUUAGCUAGUUGGAGGGGUAACGGCCCACCAAGGCGAUGAUCAGUAACCGGGCUGAGAGGAUGAACGGCCACAUUGGGACUGAGAAAAGGCCCAGACUCCUACGGGAGGCAGCAGUGGGGAAUCUUCCGAAAUGGACGAAAGUCUGACGGAGCAAAGCCGGGUGAGGGAUGACGGCCUUCGGGUUGUAAAGCUCCGUUAAUCGGGACGAAAGGCCUUCUUGCGAAUAGUGAGAAGGAUUGACGGUACCGGAAGAGAAAGCCACGGCUAACUACGUG
RNAcentral lists this ribosomal RNA (510 nucleotides) under uncultured bacterium. RNAcentral's name for it is "partial 16S ribosomal RNA". It matches the Rfam family "Bacterial small subunit ribosomal RNA", at positions 28 to 507 of the family's 1533-position model. The record is from RNAcentral.